This 417-nucleotide ribosomal RNA is filed under the name uncultured Sinorhizobium sp. RNAcentral describes it as "bacterial SSU rRNA". It matches the Rfam family "Bacterial small subunit ribosomal RNA", at positions 342 to 777 of the family's 1533-position model. The record is from RNAcentral. Lineage: Bacteria; Pseudomonadati; Pseudomonadota; Alphaproteobacteria; Hyphomicrobiales; Rhizobiaceae.
CGGGAGGCAGCAGUGGGGAAUAUUGGACAAUGGGCGCAAGCCUGAUCCAACCAUGCCGCGUGAGUGAUGAAGGCCCUAGGGUUGUAAAGCUCUUUCACCGGUGAAGAUAAUGACGGUAACCGGAGAAGAAGCCCCGGCUAACUUUGUGCCAGCAGCCGCGGUAAUACGAAGGGGGCUAGCGUUGUUCGGAAUUACUGGGCGUAAAGCGCACGUAGGCGGACCUUUAAGUCAGGGGUGAAAUCCCAGGGCUCAACCCUGGAACUGCCUUUGAUACUGGGUGUCUGGAGUAUGGAAGAGGUGAGUGGAAUUCCGAGUGUAGAGGUGAAAUUCGUAGAUAUACGAAGGAAAACCAGUACAAAAGGGAGCUCACUGGACCAAAACAAACGCUGAGGGGGAAAAGCGUGGAAGGAAACGGGG